AGAGUUUGAUCCUGGCUCAGGAUGAACACUGGCGGCGUGCCUAACACAUGCAAGUCGAGCGAAGCACUUUGCUUAGAUUCUUCGGAUGAAGAGGAUUGUGACUGAGCGGCGGACGGGUGAGUAACGCGUGGGUAACCUGCCUCAUACAGGGGGAUAACAGUUAGAAAUGACUGCUAAUACCGCAUAAGACCACAGCACCGCAUGGUGCGGGGGUAAAAACUCCGGUGGUAUGAGAUGGACCCGCGUCUGAUUAGCUGGUUGGUAAGGUAACGGCUUACCAAGGCGACGAUCAGUAGCCGACCUGAGAGGGUGACCGGCCACAUUGGGACUGAGACACGGCCCAAACUCCUACGGGAGGCAGCAGUGGGGAAUAUUGCACAAUGGGGGAAACCCUGAUGCAGCGACGCCGCGUGAGCGAAGAAGUAUUUCGGUAUGUAAAGCUCUAUCAGCAGGGAAGAAAAUGACGGUACCUGACUAAGAAGCACUGGCUAAAUACGUGCCAGCAGCCGCGGUAAUACGUAUGGUGCAAGCGUUAUCCGGAUUUACUGGGUGUAAAGGGAGCGUAGACGGAUGGGCAAGUCUGAUGUGAAAACCCGGGGCUCAACCCCGGGACUGCAUUGGAAACUGUUCAUCUAGAGUGCUGGAGAGGUAAGUGGAAUUCCUAGUGUAGCGGUGAAAAUGCGUAGAUAUUAGGAGGAACACCAGUGGCGAAGGCGGCUUACUGGACAGUACUGACGUUGAGGCUCGAAAGCGUGGGGAGCCAACAGGAUUAGAUACCCUGGUAGUCCACGCCCGUAAACGAUUGACUACUUAGGUGGUCGGGUGGCCAAAGCCAUUUCGGGUGCCCGCCACCAAACC
RNAcentral lists this ribosomal RNA (858 nucleotides) under uncultured Eubacteriales bacterium. RNAcentral describes it as "bacterial SSU rRNA". It matches the Rfam family "Bacterial small subunit ribosomal RNA", at positions 9 to 873 of the family's 1533-position model. Lineage: Bacteria; Bacillati; Bacillota; Clostridia; Eubacteriales. The record is from RNAcentral.